CGGUAACAGGCCUUCGGGCGCUGACGAGUGGCGGACGGGUGAGUAACGCGUAGGAAUCUGCCUCAUAGUGGGGGACAACGUGGGGAAACUCACGCUAAUACCGCAUACGCCCUACGGGGGAAAGGAGGGGAUCUUCGGACCUUUCGCUAUGAGAUGAGCCUGCGUUAGAUUAGCUAGUUGGUAGGGUAAAGGCCUACCAAGGCGACGAUCUAUAGCUGGUCUGAGAGGACGAUCAGCCACACUGGGACUGAGACACGGCCCAGACUCCUACGGGAGGCAGCAGUGGGGAAUAUUGGACAAUGGGCGAAAGCCUGAUCCAGCAAUACCGCGUGUGUGAAGAAGGCCUUAGGGUUGUAAAGCACUUUCAAUUGAGAGGAAAACCUGCCGGCCAAUACCCGGUAGCUUGACAUUACCUUUAGAAGAAGCACCGGCUAACUCCGUGCCAGCAGCCGCGGUAAUACGGAGGGUGCGAGCGUUAAUCGGAAUUACUGGGCGUAAAGCGUGCGUAGGCGGUUCGUUA
This 520-nucleotide ribosomal RNA is filed under the name uncultured Methylobacter sp. RNAcentral's name for it is "bacterial SSU rRNA". It matches the Rfam family "Bacterial small subunit ribosomal RNA", at positions 67 to 585 of the family's 1533-position model. Lineage: Bacteria; Pseudomonadati; Pseudomonadota; Gammaproteobacteria; Methylococcales; Methylococcaceae. The record is from RNAcentral.